Benincasa hispida (wax gourd) is the source of this 1688-nucleotide long non-coding RNA. RefSeq lists it as uncharacterized. Lineage: Eukaryota; Viridiplantae; Streptophyta; Magnoliopsida; Cucurbitales; Cucurbitaceae. The record is from RefSeq and is a predicted model, not a curated record.
AAACAAUUUCUUUCAUAUGGCAUUAAAAAAGAACAUAAAAAAUCAGUUUUUUCAAGAAAAUAGUCUCAAUCAAUAGCUUAAUAAAAUAACCGUUUGAUACGAAAAAAAAAACUUAUAAAAUCAAUUUCGUAAGUAUCAUUUGUUUACUAUGGAAUAAAAAGAUAAUUAAAAAAUCAAUUUGAUGGAUUUAAAUUAGAACAGAAAAACGGAGACUUAAAAAACAAUGUUGUUUAAUAUGACAUUAAAAAAGAACACAAAAAGUCAAUUUAUUGGAUUUUUUUUUAUAAAUAUAAUGCCAAUAGAUAAUAUAUAUAUAUUUUUUAAAAUAACGUAAAAAAAGAACAUAAAAAUCGGUAUUGUAAUUAUUGUAUAAUCUAAAUUUUUUGUUUCAAGACUAGUUCCAAUUUUUUUAGUACAUAAUGGAUCCAACAAAACUAGUUAUGAUACUAACAUCAUUCACAACUUCACAACGUCAGUUACUUUUAAUACUAGAGUUAUUACUGAAUGACCAUAGGAGGAUAGAAAACACAUCACACGAUAGUAAACAUCGUAUUAGUCAAUUAGCAUACUUUUGACUCAUUCAUGAGUCCGACUUAUGUUGUCAUCAAAGUACAAAAAUGGAUAGAAGAUGUUUUGUCAUUCUAUGUUAUUUACUUAAGACAACUAGCAGAUUAGUCGAAACUAAGUUAUAGAUGUAGAGGAGAUGGUUGUCAUGUUCUUACAUAUCUUAGCUCACGAUGUUAACAACCGGAUAGUUCAAAGAGAUUGUACGAUUUGGUGAGACUGUUUCUAGGCAUUUCAACACCAUUUUAUUAGCGGUGUUACGAUUACACUACGUGUUGUUAAAAAACCCUUUGUCGAUCACAAACUUGUGUAUAGAUCAGAGAUGGAAAUGGUUUGAGGUACAGCUCAACUACACCAACAUUAGUUUGACGUGAUUUAUUUGUUAGGUGAACGUAUGCGCAUGAAUAUUUCUUAUUUUGUUCCACCACAGAAUUGUCUGGGUGCGUUAGAUGACACGUACAUGAAGGGUAGGAAGGAUCUGCAGCUGAUUUUCAAGUUCUCAGAUAUGCAAUAUCACGACCUAAUGGACUGAAAGUUCCGAAGGACGCUUUUUUUGGCUUCAUAUAAAGGCGAAAGAUAUCAUCUUUCAAGGUGGCAUGGGGGAGGUAAUGCACCAACAACUCCACGAGAAUUCUUUAACAUGAAACAUUCUUCUGCAUGAAAUGUCAUCGAGAGAACGUUCGGAUUGUUGAAGGGUAGAUGGGCAAUCUUGUGAGAAAUAUCAUACUACCCAGUGCAAAUCCAAUGUUGAACCAUCAUGGCGUAUUAUCUUCUGCACAAUCUUAUCAAUAGGGAGAUGACUAACAAUGAACAACCGAGGAUUUGGAUGAGGUGGACUCAAAAUUUAUUACAACUGGGGGGAUGAGAUCAAUUAUAUUGAGAGUUUAAAUUAAUGGACCCAAUAGAGGAAUGAAUUGGCGCAACAGAUGUUUAUUGAAUGGGAGUUGCGUAACAUGUAGUGCCUUUGUGCUUCUUUAAUCAAUUAGAACACUUAUUUGCUUUGUCCUGUAUUGUGAAAUGACUUCAUUUGGAACUCUCUUAAUAUCAUUAUGUUUAUUAUAUUUUGUACUUCACUUUACCUAUUAAUUAUGUUCUAUAUUUUUUGUUUAUUAUUUAAUUGUAUU